RNAcentral lists this ribosomal RNA (400 nucleotides) under uncultured bacterium. RNAcentral describes it as "partial 16S ribosomal RNA". It matches the Rfam family "Archaeal small subunit ribosomal RNA", at positions 473 to 873 of the family's 1478-position model. The record is from RNAcentral.
AUACCAGCACCCCGAGUGGUCGGGACGAUUAUUGGGCCUAAAGCAUCCGUAGCCGGUCCUGCAAGUCCUCCGUUAAAUCCACCCGCUCAACGGUUGGGCCGCGGGGGAUACUACAGGGCCAGGAGGCGGGAGAGGAAAGCGGUACUCGAUGGGUAGGGGUAAAAUCCACUGAUCCAUUGAAGCCCACCAGUGGCGAAGGCGGCUUGCCAGAACGCGCUCGACGGUGAGGGAUGAAAGCUGGGGGAGCAAACCGGAUUAGAUACCCGGGUAGUCCCAGCUGUAAACGAUGCAGACUCGGUGAUGGGCUGGCUUCGUGCCAACCCGGUGCCGCAGGGAAGCCGUUAAGUCUACCGCCUGGGGAGUACGGUCGCAAGACUGAAACUUAAAUGAAUUGGCGGGG